GAUGAAGAACGCAGCAAAAUGCGAUAAGUAAUGUGAAUUGCAGAAUUCAGUGAAUCAUCGAAUCUUUGAACGCACAUUGCGCCCGCCAGUAUUCUGGCGGGCAUGCCUGUUCGAGCGUCAUUUCAACCCUCAAGCACAGCUUGGUGUUGGGACUCGCGUUAAUUCGCGUUCCCCAAAUUGAUUGGCGGUCACGUCGAGCUUCCAUAGCGUAGUAGUAAAACCCUCGUUACUGGUAAGCGUCGCGGCCACGCCGUUAAACCCCAACUUCUGAAUGUUGACCUCGGAUCAGGUAGGAAUACCCGCUGAACUUAAGCAUAUCAAUAAGCGGAGGA
RNAcentral lists this unclassified non-coding RNA (332 nucleotides) under soil metagenome. RNAcentral describes it as "partial contains 5.8S ribosomal RNA, internal transcribed spacer 2, and large subunit ribosomal RNA". The stretch from base 1 to 120 matches the Rfam family "5.8S ribosomal RNA", at positions 35 to 154 of the family's 154-position model. The record is from RNAcentral.